Molecule: non-coding RNA, 21 nt
Filed under: Rattus norvegicus (Norway rat)
Lineage: Eukaryota; Metazoa; Chordata; Mammalia; Rodentia; Muridae
Source: RNAcentral
CAAUUGAACGAAAUGUGCCAC